AGUGAACGCUGGCGGUAGGCCUAACACAUGCAAGUCGAACGGCAGCACAGUAAGAGCUUGCUCUUACGGGUGGCGAGUGGCGGACGGGUGAGGAAUACAUCGGAAUCUACCUUUUCGUGGGGGAUAACGUAGGGAAACUUACGCUAAUACCGCAUACGACCUACGGGUGAAAGCAGGGGAUCUUCGGACCUUGCGCGAUUGAAUGAGCCGAUGUCGGAUUAGCUAGUUGGCGGGGUAAAGGCCCACCAAGGCGACGAUCCGUAGCUGGUCUGAGAGGAUGAUCCGCCACACUGGAACUUGGACAAGGUUCAGACCCCCACGGGAGGCCGCAGUUGGGAAUAUUUGACCAUUGGCGCAAGCCUGAUCCAGCCAUACCGCGUUGGUUAAGAAGGCCUUCCGGUUGUUAAGCCCUUUUUUUGGGAAAGAAAAGCAGCAGGUUAAUUCCCCGCUGUUCCUACGGUACCCAAAGGAUAAGCACCGGCUAACUUCGUG
RNAcentral lists this ribosomal RNA (492 nucleotides) under uncultured bacterium. Its description in RNAcentral is "partial 16S ribosomal RNA". It matches the Rfam family "Bacterial small subunit ribosomal RNA", at positions 29 to 507 of the family's 1533-position model. The record is from RNAcentral.